This 701-nucleotide ribosomal RNA is filed under the name Nesterenkonia sp. EGI80098. RNAcentral's name for it is "bacterial SSU rRNA". It matches the Rfam family "Bacterial small subunit ribosomal RNA", at positions 90 to 803 of the family's 1533-position model. Lineage: Bacteria; Bacillati; Actinomycetota; Actinomycetes; Micrococcales; Micrococcaceae. The record is from RNAcentral.
GAUUAGUGGCGAACGGGUGAGUAUCACGUGAGUAACCUGCCCUUGACUCUGGGAUAAGCCUGGGAAACUGGGUCUAAUACCGGAUAUGACCAGUCCUCGCAUGAGGUGCUGGUGGAAAGAUUUUAUCGGUCUUGGAUGGACUCGCGGCCUAUCAGCUAGACGGUGAGGUAAUGGCUCACCGUGGCGAUGACGGGUAGCCGGCCUGAGAGGGUGACCGGCCACACUGGGACUGAGACACGGCCCAGACUCCUACGGGAGGCAGCAGUGGGGAAUAUUGCACAAUGGGCGCAAGCCUGAUGCAGCGACGCCGCGUGCGGGAUGACGGCCUUCGGGUUGUAAACCGCUUUCAGCAGGGAAGAAGCUUUUGUGACGGUACCUGCAGAAGAAGCGCCGGCUAACUACGUGCCAGCAGCCGCGGUAAUACGUAGGGCGCGAGCGUUAUCCGGAAUUAUUGGGCGUAAAGAGCUCGUAGGCGGCUUGUCGCGUCUGCUGUGAAAGCCCGGGGCUUAACCCCGGGUGUGCAGUGGGUACGGGCAGGCUAGAGUGCAGUAGGGGAGACUGGAAUUCCUGGUGUAGCGGUGAAAUGCGCAGAUAUCAGGAGGAACACCGAUGGCGAAGGCAGGUCUCUGGGCUGUUACUGACGCUGAGGAGCGAAAGCAUGGGGAGCGAACAGGAUUAGAUACCCUGGUAGUCCAUGCCGU